RNAcentral lists this ribosomal RNA (1909 nucleotides) under human oral metagenome. Its description in RNAcentral is "bacterial LSU rRNA". It matches the Rfam family "Bacterial large subunit ribosomal RNA", at positions 1104 to 2925 of the family's 2925-position model. The record is from RNAcentral.
GCUUAGAAGCAGCCAUUCAUUUAAAGAGUGCGUAACAGCUCACUAGUCAAGAGAUUUUGCGUGGAAAAUGUAACGGGGCUAAAGUGUUAAACCGAAGACAUGGACUUCUGCCUAUGCAGGAGUGGUAGAGGAGCGUUGAUAUCGCAGUGAAGUCAGAUUGGAAAGUCUGGUGGAGCGUUAUCAAGUGAGAAUGCUGGAAUUAGUAACCUUAAGACAGGUGAGAAUCCUGUCGGUCGUAAGAGCAAGGUUUCCAGGGCUACAGUAAUUGCCCCUGGGUUAGUCGGUCCUAAGCCGAGGCGUAUCAGCGUAGGCGAUGGACAACAGGUUAAUAUUCCUGUACAGGUAGUAGUUGUGAACAGUUCACGGUGAAUGACUGGAGCGGAUUAAUGGUUUAUCCGUCCAAGUCUUUAGGGAACUAAAGAUGAGUGAAAGGUAAUCUUCGGAUUAUUGAUUCUGGGUGAAGCACUGGCUAGAAAAGCUGGUUCACUUAUGCUGCUGCCUACCGUACCGCAAACCAACACCGGUGCUCGGGUCGAGUAGACCAAGACCUACGUGAGAACCUUCGCUAAGGAACUCGGCAAAAAAGCGUCCGUAACUUCGGAAUAAGGACUGCCCUCUCAUUAAGAUGAGGAUUUGCUAGAAACUCAGCAGAAGAUUCAGAUUACCUUUUAACUGAAUUUUUCGUUGAGACAGAACACAAAACAGGAUUUGUUUAACAAAUUCGUGUCUUUUCUAGUAGUCUAAUCGUCAUUUUGAUGAGAGGGCCGCAGCUAAAGAGCCCACGGAACUGUUUACCAAAAACAUAGGUCUCUGCUAACGCGAAAGCGGAUGUAUAGGGGCUGACUCCUGCCCGGUGUCGGAAGGUUAAGGGGAGAGCUUUACGGUUCGAACUGAAGCCCCGAUGAACGGCGGCGAUAACUAUGAUCGUCCUAAGGUAGCGAAAUUCCUUGUCUGGUAAGUUCAGACCCGCACGAAUGGAGUAAUCAUGUGGGCACUGUCUCGGCGAAGGCCACGGUGAACGUGCAUUGGCGGUAAAGAUGCCGUCUGAUCAUGCCAGGACGAGAAGACCCCAUGGAGCUUUACUACAACUUUGCAUUGAUUAUUGGGACAUUUUGUGUAGAAUAGGUGGAAGACUUUGAAGCAGAUACGCUAGUAUUUGUGGAGUCGAAAUAUGAAAUACCACCCUGAAUGUUUUAGUAAUCUCACUUUUGACCUGAUCGGCCAAAAGGACCGUGCAUGGCGGGUAGUUUAACUGGGGCGGUUGCCUCCUAAAGAGUAGCGGAGGCGUUCAAAGGUUGGCUAACUACGGAUGGAAAUCGUAGUGAUAGUGUAUGCGCAAAAGCCAGCUUGACUGUGAGGGCCACAACCCAAUCAGACACGAAAGUGGGAGCAAAUGACCCGCUGUACAGAACUUCGGUUCAAUUUACGUGGGAAAGACAGCGCACACGGAUAAAAGUUACCCUGGGGAUAACAGGCUGAUCGCGCCCAAUAGUUCACAUAGACGGCGCGGUUUGGCACCUCGAUGUCGGCUCAUCACAUCCUGGAGGGGGAGCACCUUCCAAGGGUUCGGCUGUUCGCCGAUUAAAGUGGUACGCGAGCUGGGUUCAGAACGUCGUGAGACAGUUCGGUUUAUAUCCGGCAUGAUCGUUAGGAAUUUUGAGGAGAUCUGCCCCUAGUACGAGAGGACCGGGGUGGACGAAUCUCUAGUGUAUCGGUUGUGGCCACCUGCUGCAUCGCCGAGUAGCUAUGUUCGGAAGAGAUAAGCGCUGAAAGCAUAUUAAGCGCGAAGCCCACUCCAAGAUUAGAAUUCCCUAUGAGAUCCCAGAGAGAAGAUCUGGUUGAUAGGCGCAAGAUGGAAGUAUCGCAAGGUAUGGAGUCGAAGCGUACUAAUAGAUCCAUCGCCUUUUUA